This 230-nucleotide ribosomal RNA is filed under the name uncultured bacterium. Its description in RNAcentral is "partial 16S ribosomal RNA". It matches the Rfam family "Bacterial small subunit ribosomal RNA", at positions 1272 to 1500 of the family's 1533-position model. The record is from RNAcentral.
CCCUAAAAAGACGGUCUCAGUUCGGAUUGAAGGCUGAAAUUCGCCUUCAUGAAGCUGGAAUUGCUAGUAAUGGCAGGUCAGCAUACUGCCGUGAAUACGUUCCCGGGCCCUUGUACACACCGCCCGUCACACCAUGAGAGUUGGAAAUACCCGAAGCCUGUGAGCUAACUGUAAAGAGGCAGCAGUCGAAGGUAGAGCCAAUGAUUGGGGUGAAGUCGUAACAAGGUAGC